RNAcentral lists this unclassified non-coding RNA (117 nucleotides) under uncultured Ascomycota. Its description in RNAcentral is "sequence contains ITS1". The record is from RNAcentral. Lineage: Eukaryota; Fungi; Ascomycota.
UCGAACGGCGCCAAGCGCCCUCGACGCUCAAACCAGUGGAAGCGACCCGUGCUUCGGCGCUCCGGCGCCGCAUCCACGCCUGAAUCCGUCCGACGUCUGAAUCAGAAAAUUGAAUCA